This 392-nucleotide ribosomal RNA is filed under the name uncultured bacterium. RNAcentral describes it as "partial 16S ribosomal RNA". It matches the Rfam family "Bacterial small subunit ribosomal RNA", at positions 523 to 918 of the family's 1533-position model. The record is from RNAcentral.
AUACGGAGGAUCCGAGCGUUAUCCGGAUUUAUUGGGUUUAAAGGGUGCGCAGGCGGCCAUUUAAGUCAGCGGUUAAAUCGUGGGGCUCAACCCCAUUCUGCCGUUGAUACUGGGUGGCUUGAUUGCGGUCGAGGUUGGCGGAAUUCGUUGUGUAGCGGUGAAAUGCAUAGAUAUGACGAAGAACACCGAUUGCGUAGGCAGCUGACCAGACCGCAAAUGACGCUCAUGCACGAAAGUGCGGGGAUCGAACAGGAUUAGAUACCCUGGUAGUCCGCACAGUAAACGAUGAAUACUUGUUUUCGGCGAUAUAAUGUCGGAGGCAAAGCGAAAGCGAUAAGUAUUCCACCUGGGGAGUACGCCGGCAAUGGUGAAACUCAAAGGAAUUGACGGGG